RNAcentral lists this ribosomal RNA (21 nucleotides) under Yersinia pestis PY-113. RNAcentral's name for it is "partial 23S ribosomal RNA". The record is from RNAcentral. Lineage: Bacteria; Pseudomonadati; Pseudomonadota; Gammaproteobacteria; Enterobacterales; Yersiniaceae.
AAGACACCUUCGGGUUGUGAG